AUGACCUCUCCCGAGUUCAUGGAAGGACUGGAAUUUCACGACCUGGGACUUUUUAACUUGACACUUUUGGCGAAACAAUCAUGGAGGCUACUACAGGAUCCCACAUUGCUUAGUGCUCUCAUAUCAAAGGCGGUGUACUUCCCUACCACAUCAAUUUUGGAGGUUGGACUUGGCUCCAACCUAUCACAGAUUUGGAGAGCGAUUUUGGACGGCAGGGAGGUUUUGAAACUGGGCCUAAUCUGCGGAAUUGGGGAUGGACAUUCUACCAAAAUUUGGGACUAUAAAUGGAUCCCCAAGGAACCACUAUCGAGGCCGCGACUACCUCUGGUUUCGCACCCCCCAUCUAUGGUUCAUGAACUGUUAAACCACACGGGUGCUACUUGGAAUUCAGCUCUUGUUCGGCAAGUGUUUUUUCCUAUGGACGCGGAUGACAUACUGAGCAUACCCCUUUGCAUGGGAGGAGUUCCUGAUUUUUGGUCUUGGCAAUUUGAACAGAAAGGCAACUUCACAGAUAUCGGCCUAUCGUAUGCUCGUCGACACGAAGAUUAA
Molecule: ribosomal RNA, 549 nt
Filed under: Triticum aestivum (bread wheat)
Lineage: Eukaryota; Viridiplantae; Streptophyta; Magnoliopsida; Poales; Poaceae
Description: partial small subunit ribosomal RNA
Source: RNAcentral